GCAAGUCGAACGCGAACGAGUUCUUCGGUAACUUUAGUAGAGUGGCGCACGGGUGAGNNACGCGUAAGUAAUCUACCCUCGCAUCUGGGAUAACCCACCGAAAGGUGUGCUAAUACCGGAUACGUCUAAGUUAAUAUCUUUUUUUUAGAGAAAGGUGGCCUCUGAUUCAAGCUACUGUGCGGGGAGGAGCUUGCGUACCAUUAGCUAGUUGGUAGGGUAACGGCCUACCAAGGCGACGAUGGUUAGCGGGUCUGAGAGGAUGAUCCGCCACACUGGAACUGAAACACGGACCAGACUCCUACGGGAGGCAGCAGUGAGGAAUAUUGCGCAAUGGGGGCAACCCUGACGCAGCGACGCCGCGUGGAUGAUGAAGGCCUUCGGGUUGUAAAAUCCUGUCAGAUGGGAAGAAGUGCUAUAUGGUUAAUACCUGUAUAGUUUGACGGUACCAUCAAAGGAAGCACCGGUUAACUCCGUGCCAGCAGCCGCGGUAAUACGGAGGGUGCAAGCGUUGUUCGGAAUUACUGGGCGUAAAGCGCGCGUAGGCGGCUAUGUAAGUCAGAUGUGAAAGCCCGCGGCUCAACCGUGGAAGUGCAUUUGAAACUGUAUAGCUUGAGUACUGGAGGGGGUAGUGGAAUUCCCGGUGUAGAGGUGAAAUUCGUAGAUAUCGGGAGGAAUACCGGUGGCGAAGGCGACUACCUGGCCAGAUACUGACGCUGAGGUGCGAAAGCGUGGGG
RNAcentral lists this ribosomal RNA (734 nucleotides) under uncultured Desulfobacterales bacterium. RNAcentral describes it as "bacterial SSU rRNA". It matches the Rfam family "Bacterial small subunit ribosomal RNA", at positions 57 to 766 of the family's 1533-position model. The record is from RNAcentral. Lineage: Bacteria; Pseudomonadati; Thermodesulfobacteriota; Desulfobacteria; Desulfobacterales.